This 24-nucleotide non-coding RNA is filed under the name Arabidopsis thaliana (thale cress). Lineage: Eukaryota; Viridiplantae; Streptophyta; Magnoliopsida; Brassicales; Brassicaceae. The record is from RNAcentral.
AAGUUUGGCCUAAACUGAAUUCGU